This 494-nucleotide ribosomal RNA is filed under the name uncultured bacterium. Its description in RNAcentral is "partial 16S ribosomal RNA". It matches the Rfam family "Bacterial small subunit ribosomal RNA", at positions 30 to 507 of the family's 1533-position model. The record is from RNAcentral.
AUUGAACGCUGGCGGCAUGCUUUACACAUGCAAGUCGAACGGCAGCGGGGAGGAGCUUGCUUCUCUGCCGGCGAGUGGCGAACGGGUGAGUAAUACAUCGGAACGUGUCGAGAAGAGGGGGAUAACCACCCGAAAGGGUGGCUAAUACCGCAUAAAUUCUGAGGAAGAAAGCUGGGGACCUAGGAAUAGGCCUAGCGCUUUUUGAGCGGCCGAUGUCGGAUUAGCUAGUUGGUGAGGUAAAGGCUCACCAAGGCGAAGAUCUGUAGCGGGUCUGAGAGGAUGAUCCGCCACACUGGGACUGAGACACGGCCCAGACUCCUACGGGAGGCAGCAGUGGGGAAUUUUGGACAAUGGGGGCAACCCUGAUCCAGCCAUGCCGAGUGUAUGAAGAAGGCCUUAGGGUUGUAAAGUACUUUUGUUAGGGAAGAAAAGUCAGCUGUGAAUAAUGGCUGAUACUGACGGUACCUAAAGAAUAAGCACCGGCUAACUACGUG